AUUGAACGCUGGCGGCAUGCCUUACACAUGCAAGUCGAACGGCAGCACGGGUGCUUGCCCCUGGUGGCGAGUGGCGAACGGGGGAGUAAUACAUCGGAACAUGUCCUGUAGUGGGGGAUAGCCCGGCGAAAGCCGGAUUAAUACCGCAUACGAUCUACGGAUGAAAGCGGGGGACCUUCGGGCCUCGCGCUAUAGGGUUGGCCGAUGGCUGAUUAGCUAGUUGGUGGGGUAAAGGCCUACCAAGGCGACGAUCAGUAGCUGGUCUGAGAGGACGACCAGCCACACUGGGACUGAGACACGGCCCAGACUCCUACGGGAGGCAGCAGUGGGGAAUUUUGGACAAUGGGCGAAAGCCUGAUCCAGCAAUGCCGCGUGUGUGAAGAAGGCCUUCGGGUUGUAAAGCACUUUUGUCCGGAAAGAAAACCUUGGUCCUAAUACGGUCGGGGGAUGACGGUACCGGAAGAAUAAGCACCGGCUAACUACGUG
This 486-nucleotide ribosomal RNA is filed under the name uncultured bacterium. Its description in RNAcentral is "partial 16S ribosomal RNA". It matches the Rfam family "Bacterial small subunit ribosomal RNA", at positions 30 to 507 of the family's 1533-position model. The record is from RNAcentral.